Molecule: ribosomal RNA, 253 nt
Filed under: uncultured bacterium
Lineage: Bacteria
Description: partial 16S ribosomal RNA
Rfam family: Bacterial small subunit ribosomal RNA
Source: RNAcentral
UACAGAGGUUGCAAGCGUUAAUCGGAAUUACUGGGCGUAAAGCGCGCGUAGGUGGCAAGUUAAGUCGGAUGUGAAAGCCCUGGGCUCAACCUAGGAAUUGCAUUCGAUACUGGCUAGCUCGAGUUUGGUAGAGGAGAGUGGAAUUCCCGGUGUAGCGGUGAAAUGCGUAGAUAUCGGGAGGAACAUCAGUGGCGAAGGCGGCUCUCUGGACCAAAACUGACACUGAGGCGCGACAGCGUGGGGAUCAAACAGG